This 1046-nucleotide long non-coding RNA is filed under the name Physcomitrium patens. RNAcentral describes it as "long non-coding RNA (PPAT_LNC000631)". Lineage: Eukaryota; Viridiplantae; Streptophyta; Bryopsida; Funariales; Funariaceae. The record is from RNAcentral.
GGAUAUAAGACUUGUUUUUCUAUGUGUAUGAGAAUUUUGAGAUCAAUCGAACGGUGUAAAGGAGAGAUAUUGGCUCUGGAAGAUUGGCAUCAAGAUUGGAGAAGGAGGCCGGCCAAUACCUGAGCACAUUUUUGAGGAUAUCGUCAAUUUGGUAACUCCGAUCCUUAUCAAUUUUUUUUUAUACUUGUUUUUAACUUAUUUUUUUAGAAGUGUGCAAAAUUUGAGUUAAGAUCAACGGUUUAUUCAUUAGUUAUUGAGGUUUAAAUCUGUUGUAGGAAUUAUUAGGAUUUGGUUUAAGAUUUGGUUUGGAGUUUAGGAUUUGGAUUAGGGUUUGAUUUUGGGUUUAGGAUUUGGUUAGGGUUUGGUUUAGGGUUUGGUUAGGAUUUAGUUUAGGGUUUAGGAUUUGGAUUAGGAUUUGAUUUAGGAUUUAGGAUUUAGGAUUUGGAUAGGGUUUGAUUUAGGAUUUAGGAUUUGAUUAGGAUUUGAUUUAGGAUUUAAGGUUUGAAUUAGGGUUUGAUUUAGGGUUUGAUUUAGGGUUUAGGAUUUUAUUAGGAUUUAAGAUUCAAUUAUUUUGGCUUAAAGUUUGAAUGAAGUUCAAUAGGAUUUUAACUAGAAUUAAAUUAAGAUUGAAUUGAGAUGUAUUUGAAUGACAUUUGUGUUCUUUCUAAUAUUUCUUUUAAAAUUCCUAUUGUUUGUUUGAAAUUUCUUUGAGGUUUUUUUGAAUUUGAUUAAGCUUUUUUAGCAUUAUUAUAGUCUAAUUAGAGAAUUUUUAGUAUUCUAUUAGAAUUAGAAUUUUUUUAUUGCAAUUUCCAUUCUUCCUUCCACAACCAGGUGUCCGGAGCAUUCUCAAGCCAGACUUCACGUAUUAUGACAACGUAUAUUUGGAGUAUAAAGAUUUAAAACUCAUCAAAGUCGGAAGUCAAUUGAUAGAUGAUGAGUUGAUAAGUUAUAAAUCAUUAAUUGUAGGUUAUAGGGACAUAUUUGCAUGGUCUUAAAAGGAUCUUAAGGACAUACCUCUAGAAGUAGCCCAACACAGAAUCUCUUUC